RNAcentral lists this ribosomal RNA (480 nucleotides) under uncultured bacterium. RNAcentral describes it as "partial 16S ribosomal RNA". It matches the Rfam family "Bacterial small subunit ribosomal RNA", at positions 28 to 507 of the family's 1533-position model. The record is from RNAcentral.
GACGAACGCUGGCGGCGCGCUUAACACAUGCAAGUCGAGCGAUGAAACUUUAACAGAACCCUUCGGGGCGAAGAUAAAGUGGAUUAGCGGCGGACGGGUGAGUAACACGUGAGUAACCUGCCUUAGACAUUGGGAUAGCCUCGGGAAACCGGGAUUAAUACCAAAUAAAAUCAUAAUGACACAUGUCAUAACGAUCAAAACUCCGGUGGUCUAAGAUGGACUCGCGUCCCAUUAGCUAGUUGGUAGAGUAAAAGCCUACCAAGGCGACGAUGGGUAGCCGGCCUGAGAGGGUGAACGGCCACAUUGGAACUGAGAAACGGUCCAAACUCCUACGGGAGGCAGCAGUGGGGAAUAUUGCACAAUGGAGGGAACUCUGAUGCAGCGACGCCGCGUGAACGAAGAAGGCUUUCGAGUCGUAAAGUUCUUUUAUAUGGGAAGAUAAUGGCGGUACCAUAAGAAAAAGCCCCGGCUAACUACGUG